Molecule: small RNA, 251 nt
Filed under: Vigna angularis var. angularis
Lineage: Eukaryota; Viridiplantae; Streptophyta; Magnoliopsida; Fabales; Fabaceae
Description: Non-protein coding transcript
Source: RNAcentral
AACCUGUUCGUACAGGACCUGGAGGAGGUGGAGGUGGAGGUGGAGGUGGAGCUAAACCUGUUUGCACAUGACCUGGAGGAGGAGGAGGUGGAGGUGGAGGUGGAGCAGAACCUGUUUGUACAAGACCUGGAGGUGGUGGGGGUAAAGAACCUAAUUGUGUAGGACCUGAAGGAGGUGGAGGUGGAACUGAACUUGUUUGUGCAGGACCUAGAGGAGGUGGAGGUGGUGGUGGUGGUGGUGGGGCUGAACCU